This is a long non-coding RNA of Dermochelys coriacea (leatherback sea turtle), 2631 nucleotides long. RefSeq lists it as uncharacterized. NCBI's taxonomy places the organism in Eukaryota, Metazoa, Chordata, Testudines, Dermochelyidae. The transcript has 2 exons. The record is from RefSeq and is a predicted model, not a curated record.
UUAACCUUUCUAUAAGGCUGUUUUGACUAAUAAAACCUGAUUGAGCCUGUGUUAUCUGAUGUCUCAUCAAUACUCUAAAUCAAACCCUAACAACUGAGUCUCUUCAGGAUCAGGCAUAAAUGCAUAAAAAGGGAAACCAUAUCCAACCAUUUUCUUAGGAUGUUUUUGAAUUUGAGACAGACCUCAGACUUUAUAUAAGAGCAACUCUCACCUGGGUCUUCUGCCAGGUUGAGACUGUCUCUGUUCUCCCAUAUUUUCCUAGCCAUUUCCCAUUACAAGAGAGCUACAAAUCCAAUGUGUUCUUUCUUAAAAUGAGUGGUAGCAUAAUCACCUUUUCUGGAAAUUUGAGAUAAUUUAGUCAUGUGGGGAGUACAGUUUUCAAGGACCUAGAGAAACAAAGGAAUUAAUUCUUUCAUAUAUUCUAGUCAGUCACUUUCUCAUGUUACACCAUGUUGAACAACUCUGUGCCAAAGUAGCAUCUCUAUUGCAAAGUAUUUUUGAUAGAAUAAAAAUUAGCUGAGAGAUUGAAGUAGGAACAGGAGGAAAUUGGUGAAGGAUACACAUUCCCCAUUAUAUCUGAAAAGUUGAGCAGAGAAGGCUAUCACUCCUACCAGUUGCUCACAUACAUCAACUGUAUCAUUUGAUGAUCCACACACAAAUUAACUGAACCAGAUGGAGCGUCAACUGGAAAUAGAUGACCAAAUGACCAAACUGGCUGGAAAGAUAUUAAAGAAAUGAGAAUACAAUUAGUCAUUAUGGUGAUUGACCCAUAAACAACUAUUAGGAUCAGAGGCACUUAGGUUUUAUGGUGAAGGAGCAUUUUACAAAUGUCUAUAAUAGGUAAAUAUGUUGAUUGAUUAGACAGAAAAUAGGACUUUAUUCUACUCUGUACUGAAGAACUCUCCCUGCAUGGGCACUUCCUCAUUGUCACAGGGUGAUAUGGGCCGUUCAAGAGGGAUGGGGACAGAAGGCCAGUGCACCUGAGGCUGGUUAGUUGCCAUCCCCAGCUCCCUCAGUAAGGUUUAAGAAAGGGCCCCAAGUUAGGGGAGGUGGGAAAUCCAGUGAGCUGGAAACUUGGAGAGCCAAGAAGUAACAGGAAAAAAGUACCUGAAGGAAAGCACUAAAUGUGAGGUGCUGGUGAGGAGCUUAGAGGAAAGCUGUUGGUGACAAUUGACAAAAGUUGUGGUCUCCUGAUGAGCAGAAGGCUUGGGCAGAGGCCCCUAGGAAAGGAAAAGAUGUAUCUUGAUCAAGGGAAGAUGAACCUGGAAACAAGAGGGUUGUUGCAAGAGGGUGGAUUCUUCUGAACAGAGGUAGGAUGCCUUAGUAGAUAGCCUGGAGGAAUGGAAUCCUUUGGGCGAAGGACUGUGGGAAGACCAGUCACUCUCAGGCAGGGAGGCCUAGAGAGUGGGACUCUGGAUCAGGGGUAAAAAAGGAACGGGACAAGGUGCUGCUCUUGACUCUUGUGUGGGUGACUUGAAGGUGAUGUCUGUGAAGAGGGGGAGGUGGGGAAACCCCUGCUUUAUCUGCUUUGUGUUUGUUAUGGAGAAUGAUCUCAGUGUAAGGUUUGGGAGAGUCACUGAACUGGUGUAGAUGAAUAAAUUAUGCCCAAAGGAGGGCUUUGUAAUGGACACUGAGAGACUAUACACCUUUCAUGGGCAGAAGAAAGGGGAAACAAAGACAAGCGUGUGUGUCAGGUGGUAGCCUACUGCAGGAAGAUACCAAAGAUAGAGGCCACUUUUGUCAUAUUCAGAUACUGGAGAGCUUAACUUUUGAGGUCUUAACUUUUGUAUUUCCUCAGGUGAAAGAGGAAGUGGUAUGAUUUUGUGGUUUUUUUCAUAAUGUAUUUUUCCCUAGUGUGAACCUGUUUAAGCUUUAUAUGAUAAAAAGUUGGGGGUUUUGUACAUUUAAAACAAAAAGUGGAAGGGCUGGACCCAAAAAAUGAUGCAUACCUGAGUAGGUUGGGUUUUGACCCACAGAGAGCAAUGUUAUAUAUCCACAGAAGAGAAUUAAUCAGAAAUGAACAUCUGAAGCCAUUUACUUAAAUUUGUUUGGCUUUGAGAAUACGUAAGUGUUGGUUUGUAUUUUUUGUUUUGUGGAGUCUGCUUACAGUAUAGUGUGUGGGUUUUUUUCGUUUGUUUUGGUUUUUUUGGCAGGAAUGCAGCAGUCUGGCAUUUGCAUUGUCAAGGAUGAUUUAACCAAAAUAAUCUCCUGAAACAAACCUCAAACUGGGUUUUUGUUUCUACAUCUCAUGCUUGUGGGACCUCUAGUUCCAAAGACCCUGCCCUUGCAUUAGCUUGCCUAACAUUCUCUUCUGGCCUAGAGUCUUCGUCAGCAUAGCCAGGUUAAGCCAAUUACUUCUUGUCCUGCUUUCAGUGGAUAUGGAGAUAACAACUAGAGCUAUUAAAAUGGGGGCCUUAAACUUGUCUCUGUAAAAUGGGCAUGGUAUUACUUAAGCCUCACAACGUCACUGAGAGGAGUAAUUAAUUAUGCAUAUGUGCUUUGAUGUCCUCUGGUGGAAGGUGCUAUUCAAAGUAAUUUGAUUGUAUACUGUUUGUUAAAGUUUAAGUCUUACAACAUUACAAGUCUCUUUUGUCUUUUUGAAUGUGUUCCUGCCACAUAAAAUCCGUAAAG